UCAAACAGAGGAUGCUGUGGAACCGGAUUAGUCGAAGUACU
This 41-nucleotide small RNA is filed under the name Arabidopsis thaliana (thale cress). RNAcentral's name for it is "ATSL287060". Lineage: Eukaryota; Viridiplantae; Streptophyta; Magnoliopsida; Brassicales; Brassicaceae. The record is from RNAcentral.